Callithrix jacchus (white-tufted-ear marmoset) is the source of this 117-nucleotide unclassified non-coding RNA. It matches the Rfam family "Metazoan signal recognition particle RNA". Rfam says of the family: The signal recognition particle (SRP) is a universally conserved ribonucleoprotein. It is involved in the co-translational targeting of proteins to membranes. The eukaryotic SRP consists of a 300-nucleotide 7S RNA and six proteins: SRPs 72, 68, 54, 19, 14, and 9. NCBI's taxonomy places the organism in Eukaryota, Metazoa, Chordata, Mammalia, Primates, Cebidae. The record is from Ensembl.
GCUGGGUGUGGUGGCUCACUCCUGUAAUUCCAGCACUUUGGGAGGCUGAGGCAGGUGGAUCAUCUGAGGUCAGGAGUUCAAGACCAGCCUGACCAAUAUGGUGAGACCCUGUCUCUA